UUAAGCGACUAAGCGUACACGGUGGAUGCCCCGGCAGUCAGAGGCGAUGAAGGACGUGCUAAUCUGCGAUAAGCGUCGGUAAGGUGAUAUGAACCGUUAUAACCGGCGAUUUCCGAAUGGGGAAACCCAGUGUGAUUCGUCACACUAUCAUUAACUGAAUCCAUAGGUUAAUGAGGCGAACCGGGGGAACUGAAACAUCUAAGUACCCCGAGGAAAAGAAAUCAACCGAGAUUCCCCCAGUAGCGGCGAGCGAACGGGGAGCAGCCCAGAGCCUGAAUCAGUGUGUGUGUUAGUGGAAGCGUCUGGAAAGGCGCGCGAUACAGGGUGACAGCCCCGUACACAAAAAUGCACAUACUGUGAGCUCGAUGAGUAGGGCGGGACACGUGGUAUCCUGUCUGAAUAUGGGGGGGACCAUCCUCCAAGGCUAAAUACUCCUGACUGACCGAUAGUGAACCAGUACCGUGAGGGAAAGGCGAAAAGAACCCCGGCGAGGGGAGUGAAAAAGAACCUGAAACCGUGUACGUACAAGCAGUGGGAGCACGCUUAGGCGUGUGACUGCGUACCUUUUGUAUAAUGGGUCAGCGACUUAUAUUCUGUAGCAAGGUUAACCGAAUAGGGGAGCCGAAGGGAAACCGAGUCUUAACUGGGCGUUAAGUUGCAGGGUAUAGACCCGAAACCCGGUGAUCUAGCCAUGGGCAGGUUGAAGGUUGGGUAACACUAACUGGAGGACCGAACCGACUAAUGUUGAAAAAUUAGCGGAUGACUUGUGGCUGGGGGUGAAAGGCCAAUCAAACCGGGAGAUAGCUGGUUCUCCCCGAAAGCUAUUUAGGUAGCGCCUCGUGAAUUCAUCUCCGGGGGUAGAGCACUGUUUCGGCAAGGGGGUCAUCCCGACUUACCAACCCGAUGCAAACUGCGAAUACCGGAGAAUGUUAUCACGGGAGACACACGGCGGGUGCUAACGUCCGUCGUGAAGAGGGAAACAACCCAGACCGCCAGCUAAGGUCCCAAAGUCAUGGUUAAGUGGGAAACGAUGUGGGAAGGCCCAGACAGCCAGGAUGUUGGCUUAGAAGCAGCCAUCAUUUAAAGAAAGCGUAAUAGCUCACUGGUCGAGUCGGCCUGCGCGGAAGAUGUAACGGGGCUAAACCAUGCACCGAAGCUGCGGCAGCGACGCUUAUGCGUUGUUGGGUAGGGGAGCGUUCUGUAAGCCUGCGAAGGUGUGCUGUGAGGCAUGCUGGAGGUAUCAGAAGUGCGAAUGCUGACAUAAGUAACGAUAAAGCGGGUGAAAAGCCCGCUCGCCGGAAGACCAAGGGUUCCUGUCCAACGUUAAUCGGGGCAGGGUGAGUCGACCCCUAAGGCGAGGCCGAAAGGCGUAGUCGAUGGGAAACAGGUUAAUAUUCCUGUACUUGGUGUUACUGCGAAGGGGGGACGGAGAAGGCUAUGUUGGCCGGGCGACGGUUGUCCCGGUUUAAGCGUGUAGGCUGGUUUUCCAGGCAAAUCCGGAAAAUCAAGGCUGAGGCGUGAUGACGAGGCACUACGGUGCUGAAGCAAC
This 1549-nucleotide ribosomal RNA is filed under the name Escherichia coli DEC11B. RNAcentral describes it as "bacterial LSU rRNA". It matches the Rfam family "Bacterial large subunit ribosomal RNA", at positions 1 to 1594 of the family's 2925-position model. Lineage: Bacteria; Pseudomonadati; Pseudomonadota; Gammaproteobacteria; Enterobacterales; Enterobacteriaceae. The record is from RNAcentral.